Canis lupus familiaris (dog) is the source of this 763-nucleotide long non-coding RNA. RefSeq lists it as uncharacterized. Lineage: Eukaryota; Metazoa; Chordata; Mammalia; Carnivora; Canidae. The transcript has 2 exons. The record is from RefSeq and is a predicted model, not a curated record.
CCAGGCAACGAGUGUUACAUAUUUAUGGCAGAGCAAGUCUCCUUAUAAUAUGUGUUCACAGCCCUUGCUACACCCCUCCUGCCAUCUAGAAAGAAUUCUGGCUUUUGUUCUAUAGCUUUUAUUAUAUGCCCUCUGGGGGAAUUGGAGUUUGUUGCUAGAUUCUACAUUUGUGAUGUAAAAAUGAGAGACUGGAGCCAGAGAAACAGAACUGAUAAGGUGAAGAAAGAGCCUUGAAGCAAAUAAGUAAUUCUCUCAGGACUCCACAACUAAAGCUAGGAUUUGAAUCCAGUUCUGGUGGGCCCCAGCCUGCCGUCUUUCCAUGAUGCCACAUGACACUUCCAUAACCAUCUGUUGAACUGACUGAAUCAAAAGGCUUCCCUUGUGAGGGACCUCUAUUUAUUCUGAUAUCGUACAUAAAUGGGAAAGGCUUAUUUCUGAUAUUUGAUUCAGGAGAGAAAAGCUUAGCUCCUAGCCUGGAAAGCAGACCGGCUUGCUGUACUAAGCUUGCCUGUGGGCUGGAUGGUUCAUUUUGAAGUCCAAUCACUUUGCACCUAGGAAAUGGCAUUGUUUACCGCAAAGGUUCAGCUAAAACUGUUGCAAAAAUUGCUCUGUGGCCAUUCACGUUUCUGGAAAUCAAUUUUCUGACCAGGUAGCUUACCUGAUGCAAAGAAGUAAGGAAUAAAAAAAAGGUUUCUUCAGACUGCCAACCAAGUUACCCUGGACCUUUCAAUGGCUAGGUAGUAAACUAAAUUGUAUGCACUUA